AGACAAUCAUGCAAUUAAUCAUUUAAUAGAUUGACAGCCCUACUUCGUUUCUAUUGUUGCCCUUUUUCAGCAGCACCCAUUCCACCAUGACAAUAUGGGCAUAAACCAUAAUCUCCCAGACUAAAGCUGGCACAGUAUAGUCUGGACUGUAAUAAUUCAUUUGGUCACAGGUAUUACAAAUAUGCAGGGGGACAAUUAUCUCACUUCCAACGACCUCUUGACUCAAAAGUCUGACUCCUAAUCCAACACAGCUUUGUCCUCAGCUGCAAACAGUGUGGAAAAAUAACAGCUUCAUGCUCCAUAUAACAGUUACACACAUACAUAAGUUAGCUAGCUAACACUUAAAGGGUGUAGCUAGUGAGCUAUUGUUUCACAUGUAAACAGAUGGGAGUGCAGGUCAACCAGUUAGACCUUGUUCACACAACACUGAUGACAAUGUGGGCAUAAACCAUAAUCUCCCAGACUAAAACUGGCACAGUAUAGUCUGGACUGUAAUAACUCAUUUGGUCACAGGUAUUACAAAUAUGCAGGAAAACCAAUAUCUCACUACCUUGAGAGGGAUGUUAAUAGAAAUAAAGAACAGAAUAUAAUUUUUGAGCGUGGGUGGGAUACUACAAAUAUGCAGGGGGACUAACAUCUCACUUCCAAUGACCUCUUGACUCCCAAGUCUGAAUCCUAAUCCAACACAGCUUUGUCCUCAGCUGCAAAACAGUGAGUUUUGUUGCAAAAUAGCAGCUUCAUGCUCCAUAUAACAGUUACA
Sebastes umbrosus (honeycomb rockfish) is the source of this 760-nucleotide long non-coding RNA. RefSeq lists it as uncharacterized. The record is from RefSeq and is a predicted model, not a curated record. The transcript has 2 exons. NCBI's taxonomy places the organism in Eukaryota, Metazoa, Chordata, Actinopteri, Perciformes, Sebastidae.